UACGGGGGGGGCAAGCGUUGUUCGGAAUUACUGGGCGUAAAGGGUUCGUAGGUGGCUUGCUAAGUCAGACGUGAAAUCCCUCGGCUUAACCGGGGAACUGCGUCUGAUACUGGAUGGCUUGAGAUUGGGAGAGGGAUGCGGAAUUCCAGGUGUAGCGGUGAAAUGCGUAGAUAUCUGGAGGAACACCGGUGGCGAAGGCGGCAUCCUGGACCAACACUGACGCUGAGGAGCGAAAGCCAGGGGAGCAAACGGG
RNAcentral lists this ribosomal RNA (253 nucleotides) under uncultured bacterium. RNAcentral describes it as "partial 16S ribosomal RNA". It matches the Rfam family "Bacterial small subunit ribosomal RNA", at positions 524 to 776 of the family's 1533-position model. The record is from RNAcentral.